Molecule: long non-coding RNA, 857 nt
Organism: Triticum dicoccoides
Lineage: Eukaryota; Viridiplantae; Streptophyta; Magnoliopsida; Poales; Poaceae
Exons: 2
Source: RefSeq, a predicted model, not a curated record
GCACCACCACCUCCCUCCCCCGUGACGCCAUCCUACUUCCCUCCCACCGUGCCACGCGCCCGCCACCAUGGAGAGCGCCGGCGGCUGAUCUACCAAGGCCGGCUUCCCCAAACCACUGCCGUCGCCUGAUGACCUCCUUUAGCGCUUCGAUGGUCGGAUCCAUAGCACCCUGCGCCGGUAACCUCGUUCUACACUGUGGUUGCCGGAUCCAGAGCCCUCCCCUGCCCCGUUGACCUCCUUCUGCCCCGACGUGGCUGGAUCAAGCGGACCUCCAGCUGCCGCCAGAUGCAGGCGCCCCGGCCGCCGCACCUUUGCCCCCAGGGGGCUCCUGCCCCCUACCUCGUCUGCCCACUAGGUUCUCUGCCGCGGGCCACCAUCCCCAUGGCAGGCCAGAGAGGAGGAUGAGGGUGCUCCACCACACACGGGUGGGGGCACGCGCGGGGCACAAAGGACGGCGAGCGGCACCGGCGCACUAGAAGGACAAGGAGGUGCUGCACCUCGCAUCUCCGGCCAGAUCCCAUCGCCGAUGGGAUCGGGCGUCGCUGGCGUGCAACUUCCAUUUGAUGUGCUCGCGAUUCAGAGCACUGGCGCCUCAUGCUGCUCGCAGGGUCUCACCGACGAAGGCUCGCGUUAUGCAGUUCUCUUGCGCAUCCGUUGCGGCUUCAGUGCUCGUGAUGCUCACUGGUGCCUUAUCCCUAUGUACUUUUUUCCAUGGAUCUCUCUGUAGGGUGAGAGUGCUUCAUGUAGUUCGAUAUCCGUAGUCGUGCAGUGCAGCAAAAUAGGGCGCGUGCGGGCAAAGUAGUGCGGCAUCGGUAGCCGAACAAAUCAGCUUAACACAAGGCGGUUCGCUGGACUCA